CGAGUCUGACCGGGCGUAAGCU
RNAcentral lists this microRNA (22 nucleotides) under Panagrellus redivivus. RNAcentral's name for it is "prd-miR-7949-5p". Lineage: Eukaryota; Metazoa; Nematoda; Chromadorea; Rhabditida; Panagrolaimidae. The record is from miRBase by way of RNAcentral.